Long non-coding RNA from Solanum lycopersicum (tomato), 2384 nucleotides. RefSeq lists it as uncharacterized. The record is from RefSeq and is a predicted model, not a curated record. Lineage: Eukaryota; Viridiplantae; Streptophyta; Magnoliopsida; Solanales; Solanaceae.
UUUCGUCCAAGUCCCCAAUUUAAUUAGGGUCCGUGAAUGCUUUGUUAUUUUCCAUUUAGGUUUGUUAUAGAUGUUUGAUUAUUCUCGUCUUUUGGAAGUUCCAAUAAUUUUAAUAAUUGUGUCUUCAAUUUCGGUUGGGUCCUUAUGCUUUUCAUGUUCUAUUUUAGAUUGUCGAAAAACUAUUCAGAUUCAAAUUUUUGUGUGUUUUUUCACAUGCAGUAAUUAAUUGGUCAUUUUAAACUUUUGGGAGAUUCAUCUUUUGAUCAACAAGAAGUUGUUAUAUGGAAUAAAUGUUUAAGAAAUCUUGCUGAAGGUAGUUCUGUAGUUUCGGUUGGGUCAUUAUGCUUUCCCUAUUCUAUUUUAGAUUGUUGGAAAACUUUUUAGAUUCAAAUUUUUUUUUGUGUUUUUUCACAUGAAUUAUAUUCAUUAGGUGAACAUUGAACAAGAUAUAAGAUAACCAAUAAAGUAAGAGUUGUGAGAGGUUUAUUGAUUUUGAUGAGAAAGACAACAACUUGUUUGAGCUCGAACGGAGCAGGGUAUUAUUGUGGAUUUCUGAAUUGCCGUUAAUGGAGUCUUGGAGUUGUGGAGAGUGAAGUGGAGAUGUCAAUCAAAUAGACUACAACAUAGUCUUAGCUUCUAUGUUAGAUGCUAAUAAAACUUAAGCUUAUAUAGUAUAGUACUUUUUUGUUGUUGUUCGGUACUUGCAUUAGAUUUCAACUUAAUUUAAUGUCAACUUCAUUUGGUUGGUCGAUUUCGCUAUGAAUUAUGUAAACUGAACAUCUUUAAUUAUUCAGUGCUAGAAUUUCUGUUUUUAUUGUUAGGUUUUGAUUUUUGGUACUGUGCCUUCUUCUUGAUAGUUGAUUUGAAAGAUGCAGAUGAAUUCAUUGUGCCUUUUCGCACCAGCAGUAGAGCAAUUUGAGAAGUAGUGAAAGUGUGAAGUUAAGGAUAUACAACUGCUCUACGAGAAUGUCAUCUACGGAUAAUGAUGUGAUAAUAUUUUGAAUCUCAUGUUGACUAGAAAGGUAAGAUCAAGAACAAUAAUUCAUUUUGAGAUUAACAAAUUGGCGUUUAGUGAACUACUUGUUAUUAUUUCUAAUGUUUCUAAGUUUUGUAGACAGUAAAAUUUUCUAAAUAAAUCAAAGUUACAUAAUCAAGGUGUUGGCACUACAUUAUAAGCUCUAAAUUUCUGUCUCCUAAAUCUCUGUAUCUUAUUUAUUUUACUUGAUAUAUGAUAUUGUGAUAUGCAAAUAGAUAUGUUAAUGAUAACUGAGACCUCAAUGAAAUGGGAGAGCUUCCAAUACUUUAUAUUUUUUUUGAUGCACCAAGAUAAUACCAACUUGUAUAGGAAAUUCAGUGGAGGUGUUGUUACAUAGUUGUUGUUCUUAUAGCAUAUUUGUUUUGAGCUGAAUUUCAGUUGUUUUGGUGGGAUAUUCUAUUAUUUUUAAGUCAUCUUCUAAGGAUAUGGUGUAGGGGGUGACUAUGAUUGUUGAAAGGGUUUAUUUUUCUUACCUAUUACUAAUAUUUCUCUACAGUUUAUAGUUAUGUCAAUAAGACUACAAGAUUUUUCCACUUCAAUAUCAAUAAUAUGCACCCACAAAUUAUAUCUAAUAUUAAAUCUCUAAAUAUGAUAAUAUCUUAUAUAAUCAUGUGAAACAAGGUUAGAGUAAAAGUGGCAACUUGAGAUUAUGUGACACUGCUUGUUGUAACACUCACUCUCUUCCUAAUUCAGUAGUGCACGAGUAGUGUAUUUUCUAAUGCUCCGAUAUGAGUUAAUAAUUAUGUAUGAUUUUUAACACUUAUAUCAGCUCUAAUCAUAUAUGCUUCUAAUUUGUAUGUAAAUAAUUAAAUGCAGCUCAUCUUGUGUAUUUCUCAAACCCUCCAUCUCUCACAAACAUUGAAUAAAUUCAAUAGUAAUUGAUUGGAGUAGCAACACAUUUUAGAAGUUGUUUCUAUAUUUGCAACUUAAAUUAGUACCUAUUGAUUAGUAUGCAGUAUAUAUAUUUAAAUAUUAAUUAGUAGUUCCAUGCAUACAGUAUCAGUGCACGGUUUUAUGGUGUGAUGUAAAUGGUUUAUCCUAAUCAAUGCAUUAUUGAUUGCUUUCACGACUCUAAGUCGUGAUCUAUAAGUCACACAUGAACUUAUUAACUAAACUACAUGCAUUUGUCAAGACUCUAUUUCCCCACCUAUCAUUUUUUUAUUUUUGUUACCAGUGAAAUAUAUUAUAUGUUUUUGAAGAUGUUGAUGGCAUACACUUAUGUUGUUAAUGGCGUACACUUUUACUGCCUAUUUUUGAGAAAUUGACAUCAGGUACAACCUAAACAUUCACAAUGUACUUAGAUCUUGCAUGCUUCAAUCUAUUAUUAAUUUAUUAUCCUUCCUCUGUA